UUGCCAUCAACGUGUCUGGCAGCGACUCAGGGUCAGGCCUUCUCUGUAGCUGCCCUCAACUACAAGGGUUAACAUCUGUUGGUGGACUUUUAAACACAUCUUCUUGAUUGUUCACUAGCACUGGCCUGGAGUGCUGAGUUGCAAUGCCAGAACCAGGGUCGCAAGCUGUGCAAUUGGACUGGAUGUCAGAUCGAUUCAUGGCAACUACACAUUACAUAGAAACCCAAAACAAACUCUGGUGCUCGUCCUUCAUUCAGGAAAAUCCAAUAGAGGGGCGAUAUGGACCAGAGGAGCUGCAGCAGGGAGCAGCUCACAGGGCUGUACCAGCACGCCCGGCUCUUUCUAAAACUGCUGGCGGAGCCAAAGGCAUCCUGAGGCCAGGAGCAUUUAGGGCAGCAUGACGGAGAGGAUGCCCCAGCUGGAAGAGUUCCAUCGAGAAGCAUAAAUGCUUCGCAGAUUGCCAUGGAUCUGAUUUCUCUCCAGAAGGAUGCGAGGAAAUAAAGCUGAGCUUGCACUGAA
Long non-coding RNA from Hemicordylus capensis (graceful crag lizard), 519 nucleotides. RefSeq lists it as uncharacterized. The transcript has 3 exons. NCBI's taxonomy places the organism in Eukaryota, Metazoa, Chordata, Lepidosauria, Squamata, Cordylidae. The record is from RefSeq and is a predicted model, not a curated record.